GGUUUUCUAAAAUGGCGUCCACCAGGUGGCGCACUGAGUCGUCAGGUCCAGGUAACUGUCAAAGUGCUUAUCUUUACUAUGAAUAGUGAACGAUUUUAGUGUUUUUUUUUAUUUUAUAAUUAAAGCUCUGCAUUAUUGUUUUACUAUUGCGGUUGAGUAAAUAAAAAAAACUAAAUCAUAUUGUGUUAACAAAUUUUUCAACAAGCUUUUCCUUAGUACCAGUGACUUUUGCACCCUCUCUCUUAGCUCAAUUUUUAGUUCGGAAACCUUAUUCUGACCGUAGUCCAUAAUAAAAUCAAUAACACUUCCAAAAUAACAGAAUUUCAAUAAACAAUAAGUUCGGCACCUACAAUUCCAUACUAUUUGACAGCUGUUUGGACCUGACGCAUACGAAGCGCCGCCUGGCGGCAGAAAAAGUAUCGAAAACCCUCAUUGCAAACA
Molecule: long non-coding RNA, 441 nt
Organism: Helicoverpa armigera (cotton bollworm)
Lineage: Eukaryota; Metazoa; Arthropoda; Insecta; Lepidoptera; Noctuidae
Exons: 2
Source: RefSeq, a predicted model, not a curated record